AGAGUUUGAUCAUGGCUCAGGACGAACGCUGGCGGCGUGCCUAACACAUGCAAGUCGAACGGACGAGGCCCCUUCGGGGACCGAGUUAGUGGCGGACGGGUGAGUAACGCGUGAGCAACCUGCCUUUCAGAGGGGGACAACAGUUGGAAACGACUGCUAAUACCGCAUGAUGCAGCGAGAUCGCAUGGUCUUGCUGUCAAAGAUUUAUCGCUGAAAGAUGGGCUCGCGUCUGAUUAGCUAGUUGGAGGGGUAACGGCCCACCAAGGCGACGAUCAGUAGCCGGACUGAGAGGUUGAACGGCCACAUUGGGACUGAGAUACGGCCCAGACUCCUACGAGAGGCAGCAGUGGGGAAUAUUGGGCAAUGGGGGAAACCCUGACCCAGCAACGCCGCGUGAAGGAAGAAGGCUUUCGGGUUGUAAACUUCUUUUACCAGGGACGAAGAACGUGACGGUACCUGGAGAAAAAGCCACGGCUAACUACGUGCCAGCAGCCGCGGUAAUACGUAGGUGGCAAGCGUUGUCCGGAUUUACUGGGUGUAAAGGGCGUGUAGGCGGAGCUGCAAGUCAGAUGUGAAAUCUGGGGGCUUAACCCUCAAACUGCAUUUGAAACUGUAGCCCUUGAGUAUCGGAGAGGCGGGCGGAAUUCCUAGUGUAGCGGUGAAAUGCGUAGAUAUUAGGAAGAACACCAGUGGCGAAGGCGGCCUGCUGGACGACAACUGACGCUGAGGCGCGAAAGCGUGGGGAGCAAACAGGAUUAGAUACCCUGGUAGUCCACGCUGUAAACGAUGAAUACUAGGUGUGGGGGGACUGACCCCCUCCGUGCCGGAGUUAACACAAUAAGUAUUCCACCUGGGGAGUACGACCGCAAGGUUGAAACUCAAAGGAAUUGACGGGGGCCCGCACAAGCAGUGGAUUAUGUGGUUUAAUUCGACGCAACGCGAAGAACCUUACCGGGAUUUGACAUCCUACUAACGAAGCAGAGAUGCAUUAGGUGCCCUUCGGGGAAAGUAGAGACAGGUGGUGCAUGGUUGUCGUCAGCUCGUGUCGUGAGAUGUUGGGUUAAGUCCCGCAACGAGCGCAACCCCUAUUGUUAGUUGCUACGCAAGAGCACUCUAGCGAGACUGCCGUUGACAAAACGGAGGAAGGCGGGGACGACGUCAAAUCAUCAUGCCCCUUAUGUCCCGGGCUACACACGUAAUACAAUGGCGGUCAACAAAGGGAAGCAAAGCCGCGAGGCAGAGCAAACCCCCAAAAGCCGUCUCAGUUCGGAUUGCAGGCUGCAACUCGCCUGCAUGAAGCUGGAAUUGCUAGUAAUCGUGGAUCAGAAUGCCACGGUGAAUACGUUCCCGGGCCUUGUACACACCGCCCGUCACACCAUGAGAGUCGGGAACACCCGAAGUCCGUAGUCUAACCCGCAAGGGAGGGCGCGGCCGAAGGUGGGUCUGAUAAUUGGGGUGAAGUCGUAACAAGGUA
This 1474-nucleotide ribosomal RNA is filed under the name metagenome. Its description in RNAcentral is "bacterial SSU rRNA". It matches the Rfam family "Bacterial small subunit ribosomal RNA". The record is from RNAcentral.